Molecule: ribosomal RNA, 497 nt
Filed under: uncultured bacterium
Lineage: Bacteria
Description: bacterial SSU rRNA
Rfam family: Bacterial small subunit ribosomal RNA
Source: RNAcentral
AAAUGAAUUGACGGGGGCCCGCACAAGCGGUGGAGCAUGUGGUUUAAUUCGACGCAACGCGAAGAACCUUACCAGGGCUUGACAUCCUCUGAUGUCCAUAGAGAUAUGGAGUUCGAUUUUCGGAUUGACAGAGAGACAGGUGGUGCAUGGUUGUCGUCAGCUCGUGUCGUGAGAUGUUGGGUUAAGUCCCGCAACGAGCGCAACCCUUAUUCUUAGUUGCCAGCAUUAAGUUGGGCACUCUAAGGAGACUGCCGGUGACAAACCGGAGGAAGGUGGGGAUGACGUCAAAUCAUCAUGCCCUUUAUGUCCUGGGCUACACACGUGCUACAAUGGCCUGUACAGAGGGUAGCGAAGCUGUGAAGUGGAGCCAAUCCCAAAAAGCAGGUCUCAGUUCGGAUUGUAGGCUGCAACUCGCCUACAUGAAGUCGGAAUCGCUAGUAAUCGCGAAUCAGCAUGUCGCGGUGAAUACGUUCCCGGGCCUUGCACACACCGCCCGU